This is a non-coding RNA of Candidatus Curtissbacteria bacterium, 84 nucleotides long. The record is from Rfam. NCBI's taxonomy places the organism in Bacteria, Candidatus Curtissiibacteriota.
GGAGGGUGGGCCGGACGGCAAGGCACAAGUUUGCUAAACUUGCUGGGCGAAAGUCCAGAGUGGGUUCGACUCCCACACCCUCCG